UCUGACUUAUAGUCCAGCGGUCUCGGUAGAGUGCCCAACUUAAUGCUGGUAACUACCGACGAGGGUUGCGCUCGUUGCGGGACUUAACCCAACAUCUCACAACACGAGCUGACGACAGCCAUGCAGCACCUGUCUCCGCGUCCCCGAAGGGAACGCCCACUUUCAUGGGUUAGCGCGGGAUGUCAAACCUAGGUAAGGUUUUUCGCGUAGCAUCGAAUUAAACCACAUGCUCCACCGCUUGUGCGGGCCCCCGUCAAUUCCUUUGAGUUUUAAUCUUGCGACCGUAGUCCCCAGGCGGAAUACUUAAUGCGUUAGCUGCGUCACCGAGACAAUUAGGAAUCCCGACAACUAGUAUUCAUCGUUUAGGGCGUGGACUAC
This 378-nucleotide unclassified non-coding RNA is filed under the name uncultured delta proteobacterium. RNAcentral's name for it is "contains 16S-23S intergenic spacer region". The record is from RNAcentral. Lineage: Bacteria; Deltaproteobacteria.